Molecule: unclassified non-coding RNA, 252 nt
Filed under: Hevea brasiliensis (rubber tree)
Lineage: Eukaryota; Viridiplantae; Streptophyta; Magnoliopsida; Malpighiales; Euphorbiaceae
Source: RNAcentral
GUUCAUUAUUAUGCUUUAUUGAGGGUUGUUACUUAAUCAUAGAGUCAUACAUCCACUAUUUUAUCGCAAUCUCACAUAAAUCAGACCUUGGACAUGUAGUGCAGCUAUUAAUCGAAGCUAUCGAUAUGUUUCUAUUGGGGACUGCUAUGCUUACAUUUGGAAUGGGAUUGUAUGUCAUGUUUGUGGGAUCAAGAAAUAUUAAUGUUAAAGGAGAUGAUGAUGAUCAAUUGUCAGGCAAAAAGUUGUAUUAUU